This is a long non-coding RNA of Helianthus annuus (common sunflower), 1880 nucleotides long. RefSeq lists it as uncharacterized. The record is from RefSeq and is a predicted model, not a curated record. The transcript has 3 exons. Lineage: Eukaryota; Viridiplantae; Streptophyta; Magnoliopsida; Asterales; Asteraceae.
AUUACAGGAGCCAAGAAAGGGCUCUUAUAAAGCCCUAAAACUCACAAGAAAUCCAACAAAAAUCGAAGAUAGAACAAGCUAAAAAUUGGGGCUUUUAAAAAUUUUGUGAUCACCCAAGCUAGGAGAUUGCAAGGUAUGUUGAAUUUUGUUAUUUGGUGAAAUUUUGAAAUUUUGAUUAACAUGCAAGAACGAAAUUCUGGUAUGAGUGAUGAAUGUUCUAGUGAAAUUGAUAUGAGUAUGAGUCUAGGAACAAACCCUAGAUGAGAACUUGAUGAAUUAGUGUCAUAAAUUAGAGAUUGAAUGAUUACCCAUAUAUGUGUUAAGUGGGUUUUUAUGAUAUUAUGAUGAACACUUGAAAAGUGAUGGUAAAUCUGAGAAAAAUUGAUGUUAUGAUGCAAGAUUUGAUAUUGUUCAUGAGUGCUAGACAUAAGGGUUUGAUUUAAUGAUUGAAACUUGGUUAAAAAUAUUAGCCAUGAACUAAAUAGAAGAGGUAUAAAAAUCAUGCCCAUAAGGUGCUCGUUAAAAUGCCUAAGUGAAUCGUGUUGUCUACUAGUUUGUAUGUAGAGCUUGAUUUGAUGAUUUCAUGAGUAGUAGGUUUAUGACAAAUCUUUGAUUUGUAUGAAAUUAAACCUGAUAGUGUAUGAGAAUCACCAAAUAGGACUUGAAUAUAUGUUAUUUUUAGUUCUAGUUCUUAAAUUGACAAAGAUGAAGUUGAGAAGAUGGUAAAAUUAGGAUUCAUAUGAUGACUUCUUGAAAUAGAUUAUGUUUUUGACAUCUCUUAGCCUACAAUCAUUGUGUUAUAGGUUUUUAACCAUUACCAAGAGUUUAAUAAGGGUUUUAGCCAUGGAAAUGGGUUGCAUUUGAUGGUUUGGGUCGAAUUUGAAAGGACCCUCAACAUGAUUUCCGUAGCUUUUUAUAUGGAUUUUGACUAAUUUUAAAAAAAUCAUAUAAAAUCAACCGUUUAUCCGAUUUGGGUGUUCUAUACCUUUUCAGAAAGCUUAUGGAGUAAAUUUUUACUGUUUUCAAUCAUAAGAAACAAAUGUGGUUGUUAAAUAGGCCAAAAAAAGUGAAUUAAAACUGUUGUUCAGAAACCUUGAAAGCUGUUUGAAAAAUGAAAAUAUAGUUGCUGUGCUGAUUUUAUAAAAAUCAUAGAAAAUUCGUUAAAAGGUGUACCUUAUAUGCUUGCGAAGGUAUUGAAGUUUUCUACGAUCCAUCUUUGAACACGUUAAUCUAGUUCGGACUUUGAAUGGGUCAUAAUGGUCAAUUACAGCAGCUGUAUAGAAAAUCGCUGCACAUUAAUAAUGUCAUUAUUAAUCCAGAAAAGACAUAUGAUUGCGUAUACUUGAUUUAGUCACGAACUAUUUAUUGUUAGGAACAAAUAACACUUUAUGUGACAUGCUUAAAGUGUUCAAAAUCACUUACGAACUAGUUCGUAUAAGUAACUUGACUAACGGGUCAAACGGUUAGUGAAUGGAAAGAGUUAUGGAAAAAAAAUAGGUAGGAGCUUGGAAAUGAACGGGUCAAAUGGAUACAAGUUCAAGUAUGAAGCUCGCAAGGAUGCAAGGUUGCAGAAACAAACCUGCUGGAAAAUGGUGACCCUCGCGCCACGCGAAGGACCAAGAUGGUUGGGGCGCGACACGCGACUACAGUCGCAGCACGCGACAGAAUUAGGAAACCCUGUCGCGGCACAUGACAGGGGUAAAUGAUAUCGGCUAUCCGGAUGAAGUCAAGCGCCUAACAAGAACCGAACACACGAUAAAUGAAGCUUCCGCAUUUGAGUUUAAACCUUGUUUUCAAAAGUGAACUAUGUAAACACUUAUAACAUGGUUGUUGGAACGUUUUAAACAUAUCUGAAUAUUUUGAUGUAAAAGUUUUUGUUG